This 1236-nucleotide ribosomal RNA is filed under the name metagenome. RNAcentral's name for it is "bacterial LSU rRNA". It matches the Rfam family "Bacterial large subunit ribosomal RNA", at positions 1564 to 2808 of the family's 2925-position model. The record is from RNAcentral.
UGAGUACGAGACGCUAAGGCGUCGAAGUAGUGUAUGUCAUACUUCCAAGAAAAGCUUGCACUGUCAUUCAUAAAAAAUGCCUGUACCAUAACCGACACAGGUGGGUAGGUAGAGUAUACUAAGGGGCGCGAGAUAACUCUCUCUAAGGAACUCGGCAAAAUAACUCCGUAACUUCGGGAGAAGGAGUGCCUUAUUUAUAUAAGGUUGCAAUAACAAGAUCCAAGCAACUGUUUACCAAAAACACAGGUCUCCGCUAAGUCGUAAGACGAUGUAUGGGGGCUGACGCCUGCCCAGUGCCAGAAGGUUAAAGAAGUUGGUUAGCAAUAGCGAAGCUGAUAACUGAAGCCCUGGUGAACGGCGGCCGUAACUAUAACGGUCCUAAGGUAGCGAAAUUCCUUGUCGGGUAAGUUCCGACCCGCACGAAAGGCGUAAUGAUUUGGAUACUGUCUCGGAGAGGGACUCGGUGAAAUAGACUUGUCUGUGAAGAUGCGGACUACCUGCACCUGGACAGAAAGACCCUAUGAAGCUUUACUGUAACUUGAAAUUGAAAUUGGACUUUAUUCGCGCAGUAUAGGUGGGAGGCGUUGAAAAUAAUCUUGCGGGACUAUUGGAGCCAUCAGUGAGAUACCACUCUUAUAAUGUUAGAUUUCUAACUUUGAAUCAUUAUCUGGUCAAAGAACAGUUUCAGGCGGGCAGUUUGACUGGGGCGGUCGCCUCCCAAACGGUAACGGAGGCGUACAAAGGUUUCCUCUGAACGGGUAGAAAUCGUAUCUAGAGUAUAAAGGCAAAAGGAAGCUUGACUGUGAGACCUACAAGUCGAGCAGGGACGAAAGUCGGUCUUAGUGAUCUGACGGUACUGAGUGGAAAGGCCGUCACUCAACGGAUAAAAGUUACUCUAGGAUAACAGGCUGAUCUCCCCCAAGAGUUCACAUCGACGGGGAGGUUUGGCACCUCGAUGUCGGCUCAUCGCAUCCUGGGGCGGUAGUACGUCCCAAGGGUUGGGCUGUUCGCCCAUGAAAGCGGUACGCGAGCUGGGUUCAGAACGUCGUGAGACAGUUCGGUCCAUAUCCGGUGUAGGCGUUAGAAUAUUGAGAGGAGCCUUCUUUAGUACGAGAGGACCGAGAAGGACAUACCUCUGGUGUACCAGUUAUCGUGCCAACGGUAAACGCUGGGUAGCUAUGUAUGGAGUGGAUAACCGCUGAAAGCAUCUAAGUGGGAAGCCCACCUCAAGAUGAG